This 446-nucleotide ribosomal RNA is filed under the name uncultured bacterium. Its description in RNAcentral is "partial 16S ribosomal RNA". It matches the Rfam family "Bacterial small subunit ribosomal RNA", at positions 338 to 795 of the family's 1533-position model. The record is from RNAcentral.
CCUACGGGGAGCAGCAGUCGAGAAUCAUUCACAAUGGGGGAAACCCUGAUGGUGCGACGCCGCGUGGGGGAAUGAAGGUCUUCGGAUUGUAAACCCCUGUCAUGUGGGAGCAAAUUAAAAAGAUAGUACCACAAGAGGAAGAGACGGCUAACUCUGUGCCAGCAGCCGCGGUAAUACAGAGGUCUCAAGCGUUGUUCGGAAUCACUGGGCGUAAAGCGUGCGUAGGCUGUUUCGUAAGUCGUGUGUGAAAGGCGCGGGCUCAACCCGCGGACGGCACAUGAUACUGCGAGACUAGAGUAAGGGAGGGGGAACCGGAAUUCUCGGUGUAGCAGUGAAAUGCGUAGAUAUCGAGAGGAACACUCGUGGCGAAGGCGGGUUCCUGGACAUUAACUGACGCUGAGGCACGAAGGCCAGGGGAGCGAAAGGGAUUAGAUACCCCGGUAGUC